Molecule: long non-coding RNA, 1248 nt
Filed under: Marmota monax (woodchuck)
Lineage: Eukaryota; Metazoa; Chordata; Mammalia; Rodentia; Sciuridae
Source: RNAcentral
CUCACAUUUAAUCCAGGGUAAGAGGGAGGAUCUCCCACAUUCUGACCCUGGGAUGUGGAUGCAACCACAGCUUUUUUGCUUUGUGUGCAGCCCAAGGAGGCUCUCUCUGCUAUUCCUGCUUCUCCACAGAUGGAGGGCCCAGGGUUCCCAGGAGGUGGGAAUUUGUGGAAGGGUGGCUUUCCUGGGACCAUCCCAUGGAGCUGACAUCUGAGGGACCUGUCCUACCUUUCAAAGGAAAAAAAUCCUGUCACAUUCCUGCCUCCUGGUGUCUGACCCUGAAUGGGAAAGAGUGUGAAUACAACUCUAGCUCAACACACCUGGACAUGACUUUCUUUAAUAGUCAACCAUUGAGGGAGUUGUCUGGAAAAACCUCCAGAAUCCAUUCAAGGACACUUUGCUAUGGUUUUUUCAUCAGUGAAAAUGCAAGACAAUGCCAGCUGUCCUGGCCAAGGAACUUUAGAAGUCACAAGCUCUCUAUCUCACAUGCAGAACACAGUAAGUGCCCCCAGAGAACCAUGUUCCUGUGAAGAGGCACCAUCACCUCCUCCACCUGCAUGAAGGGCCUCAGACUCCCCUCUCACCUCCCAGUCCACAGGCAAACUCUGGGGUGUUUUCACUUUAUGUUGAUUGUAUGGAUGUCACCUGCACAUGCCCUGUGUGUCCUGGAGCUGCUGCCCACUCUCCUGAGCAGGAUGCUCACCAGGUCCUGCAGGUGCAGCACCACAGCACCAGCCCCCAGGGAGGGCAGACAUCCUUUGAAAUAUCAGAGGAAGCCUCCACAAACCCUGAACCUCAGCAUCCUGCAUUCCUUUAGAAGCAGCAUGACAUGCUGACCCCAAGGACUGUCACAAUCUUGAUAAGCAGCCAAGACUCCAGGAACCAUGUCCCUGUUUGCAGCAGCCUCUGAGUGUGAGGGCAGCUGAGCAUGGUGAAACACUCAGAGGUAGAGAACUGUGCAGCAUGCACAUGGCCUUGGUUUCCAUCAUCAGCACCAAAGGGGAAAAUUAAAGGAAAAAAAAAAGAAAGAAAGAAAGAGAAAAGUAAAAAUAGAAAGAAAGAAAAGAAAAAGAAAAAAAUUGUGAACAGUUAUUGAGAAGGUUUUUUUAAAACUCUUAGAAGAGCAGGGGUGAAGAACUUUGUCCUGCUUUAUUUCUGGAAAAGUUACAAGAGGACCUGAAGGAGGACAUGAUGUUUAGAGACACUGCCGCCCUCCUGAGGUCAUGAAGCAUUGCUAGGUCUUAAAAACAC